UUCGCAAUGCCCGAAAGGGUGACGAAGCGACGCCGCGUGUGGGAAGAAGGCCUUCGGGUUGUAAACCACUGUCGGGAGUUAAGAAAUGCAAGGAUAUUAAUAGUGUCUUUGUUUGACUAAGGCUCCGGAGGAAGCCACGGCUAACUCUGUGCCAGCAGCCGCGGUAAUACAGAGGCGGCAAGCGUUGUUCGGAAUUAUUGGGCGUAAAGAGCACGUAGGCGGCUCUGCAAGUCAGCUGUGAAAGCCUUCCGCUUAACGGAAGAAGUGCAGUUGAAACUACAGGGCUGGAGUGCGGAAGGGGAGAGUGGAACUUCUGGUGGAGCGGUGAAAUGCGUAGAUAUCAGAAGGAACGCCGGCGGCGAAAGCGGCUCUCUGGCCCAUAACUGACGCUGAGUGUGCGAAAGCUAGGGGAGCAAACGGGAUUAGAUACCCCGGUAGUCCUAGCCGUAAACGAUGGGCACUAAGUAGAGGGGUUUU
RNAcentral lists this ribosomal RNA (477 nucleotides) under uncultured bacterium. RNAcentral describes it as "bacterial SSU rRNA". It matches the Rfam family "Bacterial small subunit ribosomal RNA", at positions 365 to 832 of the family's 1533-position model. The record is from RNAcentral.